GCUAAAUAUUGAAGAUCUUAAAAGUUUUGCUAAAGGAUAUAUCACCCCAAAAGAAAUCGAAUGUCAAGCUUGUGGUGUUAUUAUGUAUAGUAGUCCGGAAGUUGGAAUGCAUCUCAUUUCCGAAUCUCACGGAAAAAUUAUUAAACGAUUAGGUUUAUAAAAUCAUUGACGAUUCAAAAAAUUUUAUUUUUAUUAUUUAGUUUUUUAAUUAAGUUUUGUUUUUAAUGUAAUGAAUGUUACUUUAACUCUCUUUUUUAAUACCAUAAACGUUCUUUGUUUCUUUACAUAAAAUAUUUUUUUGUACUUUUAAAUAAAAAUAAAGCGUUAGUAAUAUAAA
Molecule: non-coding RNA, 337 nt
Organism: Onthophagus taurus
Lineage: Eukaryota; Metazoa; Arthropoda; Insecta; Coleoptera; Scarabaeidae
Source: RefSeq, a predicted model, not a curated record